Non-coding RNA from Phthorimaea operculella (potato tuberworm), 67 nucleotides. NCBI's taxonomy places the organism in Eukaryota, Metazoa, Arthropoda, Insecta, Lepidoptera, Gelechiidae. The record is from the annotation of a GenBank genome assembly.
GCAUUGAUAGCUCAGUGGCAGAGCAGUGGGCUGUUGACCCAUGCGGGUUUUAGCCUCGGUCGAUGCG